UGACAGACUAGGCUGGCGUGCUAGUUCCACGCUGUUACUACAAGCGAACUUUAGGUAGAGCUGAAGCUGGUGAGGAGGCAUAGAUUACUAUUGCCAGUCCUGCAUCGUACAACGAUCCUUUGUCCUGAUUGGUUGAAUAUAUGGAGAACCGGAUCAGGUCAGGAAUGAAGCAGUCCUAACCUAUAUGUUUGGCGCUUUCAGGGAAAUGAAGGGGAGGAAAGUGCAGGAUUCAACUGUCAGUGGUAAUUUGUAUCCACUUGCUGGCAUGUCUGUCU
This 275-nucleotide signal recognition particle RNA is filed under the name Candidatus Woesearchaeota archaeon. RNAcentral's name for it is "signal recognition particle sRNA". It matches the Rfam family "Archaeal signal recognition particle RNA". The record is from RNAcentral. Lineage: Archaea; Nanobdellati; Candidatus Woesearchaeota.